GCUAACUCCGUGCCAGCAGCCGCGGUAAUACGGAGGAUGCGAGCGUUAUCCGGAUUCAUUGGGUUUAAAGGGUGCGUAGGCGGACUAUUAAGUCAGUGGUGAAAUCCUGCAGCUUAACUGCAGAACUGCCAUUGAUACUGAUAGCCUUGAGUUUGGUUAAGGUAGGCGGAAUGUGUAAUGUAGCGGUGAAAUGCUUAGAUAUUACACAGAACACCAAUUGCGUAGGCAGCUUACUGAGCCGACACUGACGCUGAGGCACGAAAGCGUGGGGAUCGAACAGGAUUAGAUACCCUGGUAGUC
RNAcentral lists this ribosomal RNA (300 nucleotides) under uncultured Mangrovibacterium sp. RNAcentral describes it as "bacterial SSU rRNA". It matches the Rfam family "Bacterial small subunit ribosomal RNA", at positions 496 to 795 of the family's 1533-position model. The record is from RNAcentral. Lineage: Bacteria; Pseudomonadati; Bacteroidota; Bacteroidia; Marinilabiliales; Prolixibacteraceae.